Etheostoma cragini (Arkansas darter) is the source of this 173-nucleotide long non-coding RNA. RefSeq lists it as uncharacterized. NCBI's taxonomy places the organism in Eukaryota, Metazoa, Chordata, Actinopteri, Perciformes, Percidae. The transcript has 3 exons. The record is from RefSeq and is a predicted model, not a curated record.
CAGAAAGGCCUACUGCCUCUAAAAAUGUGGUUUAAAGUAGGGUAGCUCAUUCUGUCAGGUAGAAAAUAUUUAUCAGAAUGGCCUACUUCCUCUAUGAAUGUGGUCAAAAGUAGGGUCGCUCAUUCUGUCAUGUAGGAAAUAUGAAUCAGAAUUGCCUACUUCCACUAUAAAUG